Molecule: ribosomal RNA, 99 nt
Filed under: uncultured bacterium
Lineage: Bacteria
Description: partial 16S ribosomal RNA
Rfam family: Bacterial small subunit ribosomal RNA
Source: RNAcentral
UACACACCGCCCGUCACACCAUGGAAGUUGGUUGCACCAGAAAUAGGUAGCCUAACCGCAAGGAGGGCGCUUACCACGGUGUGGCCAAUGACUGGGGUG